Non-coding RNA from Haemonchus contortus (barber pole worm), 46 nucleotides. The record is from Rfam. Lineage: Eukaryota; Metazoa; Nematoda; Chromadorea; Rhabditida; Trichostrongylidae.
CCAACGGCCCUCUUUAGGGCCACCAAAAUGCGUUUCAGAGGAAUCU